UUCUCUCUUCCCACAGGAUAUGAGUAACUCUUGUUGAAAUUAAGAGGGAGUUAUUCAUAUCUUGUGGUAGGAGAACA
Molecule: microRNA precursor, 77 nt
Organism: Anolis carolinensis (green anole)
Lineage: Eukaryota; Metazoa; Chordata; Lepidosauria; Squamata; Anolidae
Product: aca-mir-5470
Source: Ensembl